RNAcentral lists this ribosomal RNA (761 nucleotides) under uncultured cyanobacterium. RNAcentral describes it as "bacterial SSU rRNA". It matches the Rfam family "Bacterial small subunit ribosomal RNA", at positions 382 to 1159 of the family's 1533-position model. The record is from RNAcentral. Lineage: Bacteria; Bacillati; Cyanobacteriota.
CCUGACGGAGCACGCCGCGUGCGGGAGGAAGGCCUUAGGGUUGUAAACCGCUUUUAUCAGGGAAGAACACAAUGACGGUACCUGAUGAAUAAGCCUCGGCUAAUUCCGUGCCAGCAGCCGCGGUAAUACGGGAGAGGCGAGCGUUAUCCGGAAUUAUUGGGCGUAAAGCGUCCGCAGGUGGCCAAUUAAGUCUGUCGUUAAAUCGUGGAGCUCAACUCCAUACAAGCGAUGGAAACUGAUUGGCUAGAGUACGGUAGGGGUAGCGGGAAUUCCAGGUGUAGCGGUGAAAUGCGUAGAUAUCUGGAAGAACACCAGCGACGAAAGUGCGCUACUGGGCCUGUACUGACACUCAUGGACGAAAGCCAGGGGAGCGAAAGGGAUUAGAUACCCCUGUAGUCCUGGCCGUAAACGAUGAACACUAGGUGUUGCGCGAAUCGACCCGUGCAGUGCCGUAGCCAACGCGUUAAGUGUUCCGCCUGGGGAGUACGCACGCAAGUGUGAAACUCAAAGGAAUUGACGGGGGCCCGCACAAGCGGUGGAGUAUGUGGUUUAAUUCGAUGCAACGCGAAGAACCUUACCAAGGCUUGACAUCCCCCGAAUCUCUGGGAAACCGGAGAGUGCCUUCGGGAGCGGGGAGACAGGUGGUGCAUGGCUGCCGUCAGCUCGUGUCGUGAGAUGUUGGGUUAAGUCCCGCAACGAGCGCAACCCACGUCCUUAGUUGCCAUCAUUCAGUUGGGCACUUUAGGGAGACUGCCGGUGAC